This 849-nucleotide long non-coding RNA is filed under the name Physcomitrium patens. RNAcentral's name for it is "long non-coding RNA (PPAT_LNC006956)". Lineage: Eukaryota; Viridiplantae; Streptophyta; Bryopsida; Funariales; Funariaceae. The record is from RNAcentral.
AGAUAUGCAAAUUGAUAUAAUAUGUUUCAAGCAUCUUACUGAGCAAGAAAAGACUCAUUGUUAUAGUACGUGAAGUCUUGCUUGAGAAUGCUCCAAGCUCCUAGCUGUGAAAGGUAGAAUGGAAAUUGCAACAAAAAAAUCGUAAUUCUAAUAGAACACUAAUAAUGUUAAACAAGCUUUAAUCAAAUUCACAUAAACCUCAAAGGAAUUCCAAAGAAAUAAUAAGAAAUCUUUAAAAAACAUUAAAAUGAUUACAAAUAUAUCUCAAAUAUAUCUCAAUUCAAUCUUAAUUUAAUCCUAGUUGAAAUCUUACUUCAUUCAAACUUUAGGCCAAAAACUAAAUAAAUCUUAUAUCCUAAAUAAACUCAAAUAAAAUCCUAAAUCUUAAAUCAAAUCCUAAUCAAAUCCUAAAUCUUAAACCAAAUUUUAAUCAAAUUCUAAAUUAUAAUCCUAAAUCAAAUCUUAACCAAAUCCUAAUCCUAAUCCUAAAUCCUAAAUCAAACCCUAAUCCUAAAUCAAAUCCUAAUCAAAUCUUAAACCUUAAUCCUAAAUCAAAUCCUAAUCCUAAAUCAAAUCCUAAUUAGAUCUUAAACCUUAAUCCUAAAUCAAACCCUAAUCAAAUCCUAACCAAAUCCUAACCUUAAAUCAAAUCCUAACUAAACCCUAAUCAAACUUUAACCCUAAAUCAAACCCUCAUUCUAAAUCAAAUCCUAACCAAAUACUAAACCCUAAACCAAACUCCAAUCCUAAAUCAAAACCUAACCAAAUCCUAAAUCUUGAAUCAAACCCUAAUCAAAUCCUAAAUCAUAAACCAAAUCCUAACCCUAAAUCAAAUCCUAACCCUAAAUC